UGAUACAUCGGCUAUCUCGGAUUCCUCCGUAAGAUAGGCCUCGUGGCUAACGGUCGCCAUAUUGCCUUGUAUUACUACUUUACUACCCAAAAGGUUGUCAGUCUAUUGUUAUGAGGCUAUAUACAUGCGCGUUGAACUAGCGCCAAACUUUUUACCGAAACUUUGAUAUUAAGAGCACUAUUAACGUUCAUUUGUGUUGCAAUUUGACCUAUUAUCCAAGUGAUUUACUUUUCCAUUAUUAUUUAAUCACCCUAUCAACCAAUUUUUAAGAUGAAAUUACGGUGUUUACAAAACCAACCAAACCGAAAGUGAAACUGGAUGCAUUUCGUUUCGCGAUGUAAACAUUAAAUAUUUGUUCAGUUUGAGGAAGCGAAUCGAUAAUAGACGUUGGAAUAUGUAUGCAAUACAGACUAUCAUUGCCGAUUGUAGUACUGGCUAAAAAAUACCUUUUAUGACAGGUAUACUGGAUUAUGAAAGACUGAUAAACAUAAAAUUGACAACUCAUCUCCCCAACGAUACUUUGUGUGGCUCAUUCUCAGAACAAACCCAUAGUCAGUGAGAAAACUACAGUGUAAAAAGACCACUUGAUUGUGACAAUUAUGGCUGACCAAGCAAAUGUUAUCAUUUAAAAUAAAGAAAACUUCCAGUUCAAUAUACAUUUUAUACCAAUUAUGACAUUGGCCAACACAGAAAACAAUUAUAAGGUUGAUUUUCCCAAAAUUGACUGUUACAAUUGGAUACUGUUUUAAGCUUCACUCUACUUUGUCUGAAAAUAAAAGUCCUAAAUGAUGUAAUAGAAACAUACAUAUUUAAUUUUUAGUUUUACAAGGAUAUAUAUAUACAUACAUAUAUAUUAUAAUAUCUUUUUAUCAAUGGUCAAUCAAUUUAAGUUUAACUAAUAUAUACAUACACAUUUUAUACAUGUGUAUGCUUUGAUUUUUUUCUAUUGAAGCCAAAUUAAUAUCCCAUUAGAUAGAUAGAUAAUAUCACAGCAGUAUUCCUAUUUUGUCUGCAAGUACUGCAGAAAUCAUGGAUUAUUAUUUUACUGAGUCAGUCUUAAUCUUUAUAUUAUAACUGUUAAAACAGAUUAAGAUGUGCAUUUAUACAACUGAGGAUGCAUCAAGAUUAAAAAAUGGUACAUGUAUAAAUUAAUAAACAAUCAAUAACAAUCAGAAACUGUGCAUUUUUUUCAGUAUUGUGUGAAAGGAUUUGAAGUAAUGAUGUGUUUUUGAAAUAUGAUUUAUGUGAAUUUGAAUAAAUAUAUAAAAUUUA
Long non-coding RNA from Dreissena polymorpha, 1272 nucleotides. RefSeq lists it as uncharacterized. NCBI's taxonomy places the organism in Eukaryota, Metazoa, Mollusca, Bivalvia, Myida, Dreissenidae. The record is from RefSeq and is a predicted model, not a curated record. The transcript is spliced from 2 exons.